RNAcentral lists this ribosomal RNA (492 nucleotides) under uncultured bacterium. RNAcentral describes it as "partial 16S ribosomal RNA". It matches the Rfam family "Bacterial small subunit ribosomal RNA", at positions 29 to 507 of the family's 1533-position model. The record is from RNAcentral.
AGUGAACGCUGGCGGUAGGCCUAACACAUGCAAGUCGAACGGCAGCACAGUAAGAGCUUGCUCUUACGGGUGGCGAGUGGCGGACGGGUGAGGAAUACAUCGGAAUCUACUUUUUCGUGGGGGAUAACGUAGGGAAACUUACGCUAAUACCGCAUACGACCUACGGGUGAAAGCAGGGGAUCUUCGGACCUUGCGCGAUUGAAUGAGCCGAUGUCGGAUUAGCUAGUUGGCGGGGUAAAGGCCCACCAAGGCGACGAUCCGUAGCUGGGCUGAGAGGAUGAUCAGCAACAAUGGAAAUGAGACACGGACAAGAAUCCUAAGGGAGGCAGCAGUGGGGAAUAUUGGACAAUGGGAGAAAGCCUGAUCCAGCCAGACCGCGUGGGUGAAGAAGGCCUUCGGGUUGUAAAGCCCUUUUGUUGGGAAAGAAAAGCAGCAGGUUAAUACCCAGCUGUUGUGACGGUACCCAAAGAAUAAGCACCGGCUAACUUCGUG